Molecule: ribosomal RNA, 253 nt
Filed under: uncultured bacterium
Lineage: Bacteria
Description: partial 16S ribosomal RNA
Rfam family: Bacterial small subunit ribosomal RNA
Source: RNAcentral
UACGUAGGCAGCGAGCGUUGUUCGGAGUUACUGGGCGUAAAGGGUGUGUAGGCGGUUGCUUAAGUUUGGUGUGAAAUCUCCCGGCUCAACCGGGAGGGUGCGCCGAAUACUGAGUGACUAGAGUGCGGGAGAGGGAAGUGGAAUUCCUGGUGUAGCGGUGAAAUGCGUAGAUAUCAGGAGGAACACCGGUGGUGUAGACGGCUUUCUGGACCGUAACUGACGCUGAGACACGAAAGCGUGGGUAGCAAACAGG